GAACAGCCUCCUUCAAAAUGCAGCUUCACUGAUUCAUGGCAAAAAGCUGGUAUAAGCCUGCCAGGUCUUAGAAGCUUUCAAAAUAAUCAUAUUGAACUUGAUACAUUAGAGUACAGCACCUUGAAAAUGAAUCAUCUGCUAGUUCAGUAUUUUCUAAUUACGAUCACUCCCUCUCAGGGCAUGUAAUUAAUUUACUGAGCCAAAAAAAAAAAAAAA
Unclassified non-coding RNA from Dasypus novemcinctus (nine-banded armadillo), 216 nucleotides. The record is from Ensembl. NCBI's taxonomy places the organism in Eukaryota, Metazoa, Chordata, Mammalia, Cingulata, Dasypodidae.